This is an RNA transcript of Neomonachus schauinslandi (Hawaiian monk seal), 2180 nucleotides long. It is a transcript of the gene named C-type lectin domain containing 11A, with no coding region annotated. The record is from RefSeq and is a predicted model, not a curated record. NCBI's taxonomy places the organism in Eukaryota, Metazoa, Chordata, Mammalia, Carnivora, Phocidae. The transcript has 8 exons.
GCAGAGACCAACAGACGAACAGACGAGUGGACAGAGACAAGAGCUGGGAGAAAAGGGAUCAGAGAGAAGCUGGGAGAGGCAGGAACCAGGGGCUAGUGAUUUGCACGCACUCCAGUCCCCAGAGACAUCCCUCUGCAGCCUUGGGUGCUGCAGAGCCCAGCCUGAUGCAGGCAGCCUGGCUGCUUGGGGCCCUGGUGGUCCCUCAGCUCCUGGGCUUCAGCCAUGGGGCUCGAGGAGCAGACAGGGAGUGGGAGGGAGUCUGGGGAGGCGCCCAAGAGGAGGAGCGGGAGAGGGAGGCCCUGAUGCUGAAGCAUUUGCAGGAGGCCCUGGGGCUGCCCGCUGGGAGGGGGGACGAAAACCCUGAGGGAACCCCUGAAGACGAAGAGACCUGGGGGACGCAGGAGGACGGUCAGGGGGAGGAAGAGGAGGAAACAAUGCCAACCUCCUCUUCUGGCCCUAGCCCCUCUCCCACCCCUGAAGAUACCGUCACUUAUAUCCUGGGCCGCCUGGCCGGCUUGGACGCAGGCCUGCACCAGCUGCACGUCCGUCUGCACGCGUUGGACACCCGCGUGGUCGAGUUGAAUCGGGGGCUGCGGCAGCUGCGGGAGGCGGCAAGCGACACCCGCGACGCCGUGCAAGCCCUGCAGGAGGCGCAGAGCCGCGCGGAGCGCGAGCAUGGCCGCUUAGAGGGCUGCCUGAAGGGGCUGCGCCUUGGCCACAAGUGCUUCCUGCUAUCGCGCGACUUCGAGGCGCAGGCGGCGGCGCAGGCGCGUUGCGUGGCACGGGGCGGGAGCCUGGCCCAGCCCGCGGACCGCCAGCAGAUGGAGGCGCUCACUCGCUACUUGCGCGCGGCGCUCGCUCCCUACAACUGGCCGGUGUGGCUGGGCGUGCACGACCGGCGCUCCGAGGGACUAUACCUCUUCGAGAACGGCCAGCGCGUGUCCUUUUUCGCCUGGCACCGCGCGCCCCGUCCGGAGCCCGGAGCCGGUCCCAGCCCCGCGCCGCACCCGCUCAGCCCUAACCAGCCCAACGGCGGCACGCUCGAGAACUGCGUGGCGCAGGCCUCGGAUGACGGCUCCUGGUGGGACCACGACUGCGAACGCCGCCUCUACUACGUCUGCGAGUACCCCUUCUAGCGGGGCCGGUCCUCGCCUCUCCAUCCACCACUCGCCCUUUGGCUGGGCCAUUCAUCCUGUGAGAAGGCCCUUCCCUCCCUCCCUCCUUGCCCACGGAUGGAAGCGUGUUCCCCCGGGCUGGGCGAUCCCAGGGGGCCUUCUGCGGAGCCGAGAGCCCUUACUCGCCUGCCUUUCUUGGGAGCGGCGGGCACCAGGCUAAGUUCCACGCCAAUAAAGCCUUGUGGAAUCUGACUUGAGCGGGCGCUGGAGGCACUUUGGGUCUUUAUCUCGUCGCCGGGCAAGCCUGGAAGGGCAAGACCCUGGCCUUUGGAUGCCUAUCCCGUUCCGCUUUUACAGGGAUCCUGCUCCCCUCACCUCCGAGAAGCCCUCCCAGGCCUGCCAAAGACCAGCGUUUGCCAAUGCCCCCGCCCUAACUCUGCGGAGCACCUGCGGUUUGAGAGCUCGGAGUCGCAGACCAGAUAAGGUCUCCUCAGCUGCCUGGGAUCGAUGCAUGAAGAGAUUCCAGGGCGGUGGUGGAGGAAGGGCCCAACGCCUGAGAUGACCCAGCGGAGGAAGAACCCGGCCGGCACCGGUUUGCCAAGACUACAAGUCCCAGGAGUCCGAGCGGCAGGCCCUCUACCUUCUUCUCAGAACCACGUUUCCCAGAACCAUCGGGAACCUCACGCAAGUCCCCUCGAAGUCCCGCCCCCUCCUCCCACGUGAGGCUCGCUUACAUUUCGCAGAGAGCAUGACAGCAAGGAGAGAGGGGAGGCGGCGCCCCCAAUCUGGCCUGGUUUGAGAUGUUCCCAGCCGUGGGAGACAGACAGACUGUCAUCAAAUGUCGGGAAAUAGCUGUCAUGAGACUCCUCACCCCCUGACACUUGACACCUUUCCCUUCCCGGCGCCUGAAGCCUUCGUUCCGUGGCUGCAAAGUCACUGAGAAGAAAACCAGGGUUCAGAGAGAAGGAAUAUAUCUGAAGUACACAGCAGUCUGUGUUGAUACCAGGCAAAUUAUGGAACCCGCCGUGCCUCAGUUUCCCCAUCUGCACGAUGGGGACGGUGAGA